CACCGCGGUUAUACGAGGGACCCAAGUAGAUGGCCAUCGGCGUAAAGAGUGGUUAAGAGACACAAUACAACUAAAGCCAAACGACUUCAUAGCUGUUAUACGCGCAUGAAAGCACUGAGGCCCCUCCACGAAAGUGGCUUUAAUUUUCUGAACCCACGAAAGCUAUGACA
This 170-nucleotide ribosomal RNA is filed under the name Leptojulis lambdastigma. RNAcentral describes it as "partial 12S rRNA". The record is from RNAcentral. Lineage: Eukaryota; Metazoa; Chordata; Actinopteri; Labriformes; Labridae.